AUGGUGGGGAUGGACACCUUCAUCUUCGGCAGGAGCUUGGUCGGCUUCGAUGAGGCCGCCCUGGGCUGCUUCGGCGCCUUUUCAGUCGGCGCUGGAGAGGUGGUCCGGGGGCGCUUGGUCGACUGGGUGGCGGUCGCAACCCCCUUGCCACGUUCGGUCGAAGGGUCGUGGACAAGCUUCGACCGCCUUUCUGAGCGCGGUGGAAUGACCUCCUCCUCUUCCUCUUCUUCCUCGUCCUCGAUGUCAUCUUCAUCAUCUUCAUCAUCAUCAUCGUCGUCAUCACCCCCUGCGGCAUCCGAGUCCCACUCCUCCUAUUCCUGGCUCUCGCCCCCGCUCGCCUCGCCCCCACUCGCCUCGCCUUCCUCAGCCGAGGCUUGUGCCCCAUUGGGCAUCGAGUACAGUUCAGUGAGGGCCUAG
This 417-nucleotide ribosomal RNA is filed under the name Triticum aestivum (bread wheat). RNAcentral's name for it is "partial small subunit ribosomal RNA". The record is from RNAcentral. Lineage: Eukaryota; Viridiplantae; Streptophyta; Magnoliopsida; Poales; Poaceae.